This 924-nucleotide ribosomal RNA is filed under the name Bacteroidales bacterium H2. RNAcentral's name for it is "bacterial SSU rRNA". It matches the Rfam family "Bacterial small subunit ribosomal RNA", at positions 8 to 915 of the family's 1533-position model. Lineage: Bacteria; Pseudomonadati; Bacteroidota; Bacteroidia; Bacteroidales. The record is from RNAcentral.
AGAGUUUGAUCCUGGCUCAGGAUGAACGCUAGCUACAGGCUUAACACAUGCAAGUCGAGGGGCAGCGGUGGAGAGAGCUUGCUCUCUUCAGCCGGCGACCGGCGCACGGGUGAGUAACACGUAUGCAACCUGCCCUUGACACUGGGAUAACCCGGAGAAAUCCGGACUAAUACCGGGCGACACCUUCGGAGGGCAUCCUCCUUAGGUCGAAGGAAGCGAUUCCGGUCAAGGAUGGGCAUGCGGCGCAUUAGCUAGUUGGCGGGGUAACGGCCCACCAAGGCGACGAUGCGUAGGGGUUCUGAGAGGAAGGUCCCCCACAUUGGUACUGAGACACGGACCAAACUCCUACGGGAGGCAGCAGUGAGGAAUAUUGGUCAAUGGGCGCGAGCCUGAACCAGCCAAGUCGCGUGAGGGAAGACGGCCCUACGGGUUGUAAACCUCUUUUGUCGGGGAGCAAGGACUGCCACGAGUGGCAGGGCGAGAGUACCCGAAGAAAAAGCAUCGGCUAACUCCGUGCCAGCAGCCGCGGUAAUACGGAGGAUGCGAGCGUUAUCCGGAUUUAUUGGGUUUAAAGGGUGCGUAGGCGGAAGUUCAAGUCAGCGGUAAAAUCGAGGGGCUCAACCCCUUUAAGCCGUUGAAACUGGGUUUCUUGAGUGGGCGAGAAGUGUGCGGAAUGUGUGGUGUAGCGGUGAAAUGCAUAGAUAUCACACAGAACUCCGAUUGCGAAGGCAGCACACCGGCGCCCAACUGACGCUGAGGCACGAAAGCGUGGGGAUCAAACAGGAUUAGAUACCCUGGUAGUCCACGCAGUAAACGAUGAACACUAGGUGUGCGGGUCGAAUGAGAUCUGCGUGCCACAGCGAAAGCGUUAAGUGUUCCACCUGGGGAGUACGCCGGCAACGGUGAAACUCAAAGGAAUUGACG